AGACGUUUUGAAAUGAUCAUGUACGUUCACUCGGACUCAUUUUUCAAUCGGUAUUUCAUUUCUCGCUUCGCCAGAUAUUUUUCUUAUUGAAAAUGCAUAAUUCUAUAUCAUGAACAAACUGGAAAAUCUAGUAAAUUGUGUUAUUUCGUAUUUAUCUUAACCAAAUCUAAAUAUAAAGCAAUAAUGAACUUGGACUUCUACUUGUCCAAUUACUAUUUAAUGAAAAACUUUGCUAAGAACUUAUUUUUUUUGCAAAUAACUGAAAACCGGCAGCUCUGUCAGUUAAGCGUAUAUUUAUUUGAGCUUUUCGAUUUGUCCUCAUUCAUUUAUACAAAAGUGAAAAAUUUUUAUCAGAAAUGGAAAAUAAUAUUAAAAAACGAAAUUUAUGGAACCAUAUAGAAAUUACUGAAAUGCUUUCAGUAAUUAAAGAGAACCAUGUGGCUCGAGAACUGAAGGCAAAGGGACAUAAUACGGCACAGUACAAAUAAGAACGAAGUUUAAUUCAUUAAAAAGUGAAUACUAUAAAGUAAAGCGUAAUAAUAACACCAUUGGCGGUGAAAGACAGACAUGCGAAUAUUUUGACUUACUGGAUGAAGUUUUAAGCCAUCGCCCAGCAAUAGCGACAGAGGGAGAGGACACCUCACACAAUAAUUCGGAGAAUGGUACAGCUGAAUCUGAACACCCUCAAAUUCAAGCAAGUUCAACGAAAACUUUUAAAAAUCCAAAAAAGAAAACCUACCAAAGGGUAAUGGAGUAUUUUACCAAAAACUGGAAGUAGACUCGGGACAAUUUAAUCGACGCAAUAAAGGUGCAGCACACAAAUUAUUUAAGCACCAUG
Long non-coding RNA from Bactrocera latifrons, 838 nucleotides. RefSeq lists it as uncharacterized. The transcript is spliced from 2 exons. The record is from RefSeq and is a predicted model, not a curated record. Lineage: Eukaryota; Metazoa; Arthropoda; Insecta; Diptera; Tephritidae.